RNAcentral lists this ribosomal RNA (915 nucleotides) under Herpotrichia australis. RNAcentral's name for it is "LSU rRNA". It matches the Rfam family "Eukaryotic large subunit ribosomal RNA", at positions 38 to 967 of the family's 3401-position model. Lineage: Eukaryota; Fungi; Ascomycota; Dothideomycetes; Pleosporales; Melanommataceae. The record is from RNAcentral.
GCAUAUCAAUAAGCGGAGGAAAAGAACCAACAGGGAUUGCCCUAGUAACGGCGAGUGAAGCGGCAACAGCUCAAAUUUGAAAUCUGGCCCCCUGCGGGGUCCGAGUUGUAAUUUGUAGAGGGUGCUUCGGCGCGGUCCCCAGCCUAAGUUCCUUGGAACGGGACGUCAUAGAGGGUGAGAACCCCGUAUGUGGCUGGUGUGCCGGGCCAUGUGAAGCCCCUUCGACGAGUCGAGUUGUUUGGGAAUGCAGCUCUAAAUGGGAGGUAUAUUUCUUCUAAAGCUAAAUACUGGCCAGAGACCGAUAGCGCACAAGUAGAGUGAUCGAAAGAUGAAAAGCACUUUGGAAAGAGAGUCAAACAGCACGUGAAAUUGUUGAAAGGGAAGCGCUUGCCACCAGACUUGUUGGCCGUCGUUCAUCCCGGGGUCUCUCCCGGGUGCACUCGGCGGCGGACAGGCCAGCAUCAGUGGGGGCGGCCGGACAAAGGCGCGGGGAAUGUGGCUCCCUCCGGGGAGUGUUAUAGCCCUGCGCGUCCCACGGCCAGCCCCGACUGAGGUCCGCGCUUUGGCUAGGAUGCUGGCGUAAUGGUUGCAAGCGGCCCGUCUUGAAACACGGACCAAGGAGUCUAACAUCUAUGCGAGUGUUUGGGUGUCAAGCCCGGGCGCGGAAUGAAAGUGAACGGAGGUGGGAACCCCUUGCGGGGCGCACCAUCGACCGAUCCUGAUGUCUUCGGAUGGAUUUGAGUAAGAGCAUAGCUGUUGGGACCCGAAAGAUGGUGAACUAUGCCUGAAUAGGGUGAAGCCAGAGGAAACUCUGGUGGAGGCUCGCAGCGGUUCUGACGUGCAAAUCGAUCGUCAAAUUUGGGCAUAGGGGCGAAAGACUAAUCGAACUAUCUAGUAGCUGGUUCCUGCCGAAGU